Molecule: transfer RNA, 77 nt
Filed under: Bacteroidota bacterium
Lineage: Bacteria; Pseudomonadati; Bacteroidota
Also listed under: 1 other name
Description: Bacteroidetes bacterium tRNA-Asn
Rfam family: tRNA
About the family: Transfer RNA (tRNA) molecules are approximately 80 nucleotides in length. Their secondary structure includes four short double-helical elements and three loops (D, anti-codon, and T loops). Further hydrogen bonds mediate the characteristic L-shaped molecular structure. tRNAs have two regions of fundamental functional importance: the anti-codon, which is responsible for specific mRNA codon recognition, and the 3' end, to which the tRNAs corresponding amino acid is attached (by aminoacyl-tRNA synthetases). tRNAs cope with the degeneracy of the genetic code in two manners: having more than one tRNA (with a specific anti-codon) for a particular amino acid; and 'wobble' base-pairing, i.e. permitting non-standard base-pairing at the 3rd anti-codon position.
Source: RNAcentral
GCCUCUUUAGCUCAGCUGGUUAGAGCGCCGGACUGUUAAUCCGUAGGUCCUAGGUUCAAGUCCUAGAAGGGGCGCAA